AGUUGCUGGUCCUUUAGGGGACAAACCCGUGCACGUCUUUCCUGUCCAUUGCUUUCACCCCUGUGCACCACUUGUAGGCUGAGAAAUCAGUCUAUGUCUUUUUAUCACCCACACUUUUUAUAUCUUGAAUGUACAUCUGCUUGAAAUAUAGCAACAAAAAUCAUACAACUUUCAACAACGGAUCUCUUGGCUCUCGCAUCGAUGAAGAACGCAGCGAAAUGCGAUAAGUAAUGUGAAUUGCAGAAUUCAGUGAAUCAUCGAAUCUUUGAACGCACCUUGCGCUCCUUGGAAUUCCGAGGAGCAUGCCUGUUUGAGUGUCAUGAAACCUCUCAAAUCUCAUUGAUUGACUAGUCGUUGAGGUUUGGAUUGUGGAGUGUGCUGGAAAAGUGAGAAUCUCUCUUGCCGGCUCCUCUGAAAUGCAUCAGCAAAAGCCUUCACCACAGAAAGAUCGCUUAGCUAUUGGUUUGAUAAUCUUUUGUCUAUGCCAUGGUUAUUUGCAUCCUUGUCGGUGUAAGAUUUGCUUACAAUCUUAUUUCUGAUAUUUUGACCUCAAAUCAGGUAGG
This 563-nucleotide ribosomal RNA is filed under the name uncultured Tricholoma. RNAcentral describes it as "eukaryotic LSU rRNA". The stretch from base 167 to 320 matches the Rfam family "5.8S ribosomal RNA". The record is from RNAcentral. Lineage: Eukaryota; Fungi; Basidiomycota; Agaricomycetes; Agaricales; Tricholomataceae.